AUUCCAGCUCCAAUAGCGUAUAUUAAAGUUGUUGCGGUUAAAAAGCUCGUAGUUGGAUCUCGGCGGGCAGGGGGUGGUUCGCUCUUCAGCGCUACUGCCCCGCUUUGCCCGUGUGAUUGGCGGAGGUUUCGGGGUGCUCUUCGUUGAGUGACUCGGAGCGCCGUCAGGUUUACUUUGAAAAAAUUAGAGUGCUCAAAGCAGGCUUUUCACGCUUGAAUAUUCGUGCAUGGAAUAAUGGAAUAGGAACUCGUUUCUAUUUUGUUGGUUUUCGGAAAUCGAGUUAAUGAUUAACAGGGACAAUUGGGGGCAUUAGUAUUCAGACGACAGAGGUGAAAUUCUUGGACCGUCUGAAGACUGACUACUGCGAAAGCAUUUGCCAAGAGUGUUUUCAUCA
This 394-nucleotide ribosomal RNA is filed under the name Oithona sp. RNAcentral's name for it is "partial small subunit ribosomal RNA". It matches the Rfam family "Eukaryotic small subunit ribosomal RNA", at positions 582 to 975 of the family's 1831-position model. The record is from RNAcentral. Lineage: Eukaryota; Metazoa; Arthropoda; Copepoda; Cyclopoida; Oithonidae.